RNAcentral lists this unclassified non-coding RNA (200 nucleotides) under Ophiosphaerella sp. RNAcentral describes it as "partial internal transcribed spacer 2". The record is from RNAcentral. Lineage: Eukaryota; Fungi; Ascomycota; Dothideomycetes; Pleosporales; Phaeosphaeriaceae.
UUAAGUUCAGCGGGUAUCCCUACCUGAUCCGAGGUCAAAAGUGAUAAAAAGGCUUGAUGGACGCAAGUGUUACAGGGAGUAAGACGCAAAAUGUGCUGCGCUUAAAACCAAUACACUGGCUGCCAAUUGCUUUGAGGUGAGUCCAAACACAGUGGCAAGGACAAACACCCAACACCAAGCAGAGCUUGAGGGUACAAAUG